CUCUAAUAUUAUUCGAGAUUAUGUAUUUUAAGGAAUACAUACAGUGAAAUAUUAGAUAUUAAAGGGGUUUAUUCCAUCCUUAGGUGGUAAAAAUGAAACAGAGAUAAGAUAUUAGUAGAUUAGUCGAAAAUAUAG
Molecule: non-coding RNA, 135 nt
Filed under: human gut metagenome
Description: RT-14 RNA
Rfam family: RT-14 RNA
About the family: Cloacimonetes, Firmicutes, Proteobacteria.
Source: RNAcentral